This 253-nucleotide unclassified non-coding RNA is filed under the name uncultured Gemmatimonadaceae bacterium. Its description in RNAcentral is "contains 16S-23S intergenic spacer region". It matches the Rfam family "Bacterial small subunit ribosomal RNA", at positions 524 to 776 of the family's 1533-position model. Lineage: Bacteria; Pseudomonadati; Gemmatimonadota; Gemmatimonadia; Gemmatimonadales; Gemmatimonadaceae. The record is from RNAcentral.
UACGUAGGGUGCGAGCGUUGUCCGGUAUCACUGGGCGUAAAGGGCGCGUAGGCGGUCUGCUAAGCGUGUGGUGAAAGCUCGGGGCUCAACCCUGAGUCGGUCAUGCGAACUGGUGGACUUGAGCACUGUAGAGGCAGGUGGAAUUCCGGGUGUAGCGGUGGAAUGCGUAGAGAUCCGGAAGAACACCGGUGGCGAAGGCGGCCUGCUGGGCAGUAGCUGACGCUGAGGCACGAAAGCGUGGGGAUCAAACAGG